CCAUCCCAGACUCCCGUCCUCCCUCUUCCUCUUUCCUCUCCCCGUCUCCUCUCUUCUCCCCCGAUCUACCUCUUCUUUCCUCUCCUCCGCUUGCAGGAUGGGCAGAGGCUGCCGUCGCCAAGAUGGAGGCGCCUCCAUCUCCAGACCUGCGCCCCGCCCGACUCCCAGCCCCGGCCACCCGCGACCCCGGCCGUCGCAGCCCUCCGCCCCAUCCGCCCCCCGCGACCCCGGCCGCCACAGCCCCCUCCCCCCCAUCCAACGGUGACGAGGACUGCGCGGAGGAGCCGGGCGCAGCCCUCCUUGCCGCCGCCGCCCCCGACCCCAGCCGCUGCAUCCCCGCCGCCGCUCUUCCCGCAGACAUGGAGAGGAGGAGGAGCCGGCCGCCGCCCUGCAGGUUCCCUAUCUCCCUCUCGGUUUCCCUCUCUUUCUUCUCUCACUCUUGCAGGACGUCGGUGUUGAGGAGCAGUUGCCGACGAGGCGGCGCGGCCGAUGUAGCAGGAGGAGCUCCGCGACUACCGAGGAGGCACGGCCGCUGUAGCAGGUGCGGGCUCCAGGGGCACCAAGCAGUCGCCGCUGCUGCCGAGGAGGGCCCUCCUCCGUCCAUCUCUAGCCGCCGCGCCACCUGCGUGUGCGGUGAGGUCGACAGAAUUGGGGCUGGCCUGGGGCAGCUGGCCUAGUUUUUUUUUAUUUUCUCAAAUUCCCUAUCAAUGUCGGGCAUGAGGCGCCACAUCAGUAACGGGUGGCCUACCCGUCACUGACGAGCACCUCAUUACUAGCAGAAAUGUUGUGGCGGACGUCCUGACCGUCAGUGAUGUCAUUUUUUGCCCGUUGCUGAUGAGGUGUUUUGUAGUAGUGUCCCGUAUAACUCAUAUUCGCAUGUCUCACCCGGGUUUGUGAUACCCUUGUAUUCUGGCCUCACUUGCUUGCUACUUAGUGGUAAUGCAACGUGUUCGUUGCCGACAGAGUCAGUGGCGGCUUUGAAAAUCUAGUGUACGGGUAAUAGGUAUAGAUUCUAGUUGUAACUUACGCACUAGGGGUAGUGUGGCGUGUGUGAGUGCGUGAAUUCAGAUACUACAAUUGUACCGUAAUCGAGGGCCUUAUAGGAGAGAGAGUAAAAGCUACCCUUCUCUUUAGCAUCUCUUACAGUGAAAUGAGACCAUCACGGAGGCAAAUGCAAAGAUACAAGUAGCUUGUAGCUACCCGGGGAGAUUGUGGAGCAUAUGCAACGAAAUUGAUUC
Long non-coding RNA from Brachypodium distachyon (stiff brome), 1238 nucleotides. RefSeq lists it as uncharacterized. The transcript is spliced from 2 exons. Lineage: Eukaryota; Viridiplantae; Streptophyta; Magnoliopsida; Poales; Poaceae. The record is from RefSeq and is a predicted model, not a curated record.